AUACGGAGGAUCCGAGCGUUAUCCGGAUUUAUUGGGUUUAAAGGGUGCGCAGGCGGCCAUUUAGGUCAGCGGUUAAAUCGUGGGGCUCAACCCCAUUCUGCCGUUGAUACUGGGUGGCUUGAUUGCGGUCGAGGUUGGCGGAAUUCGUUGUGUAGCGGUGAAAUGCAUAGAUAUGACGAAGAACACCGAUUGCGUAGGCAGCUGACCAGACCGCAAAUGACGCUCAUGCACGAAAGUGCGGGGAUCGAACAGGAUUAGAUACCCUGGUAGUCCGCACAGUAAACGAUGAAUACUUGUUUUCGGCGAUAUAAUGUCGGAGGCAAAGCGAAAGCGAUAAGUAUUCCACCUGGGGAGUACGCCGGCAACGGUGAAACUCAAAGGAAUUGACGGGG
Molecule: ribosomal RNA, 392 nt
Filed under: uncultured bacterium
Lineage: Bacteria
Description: partial 16S ribosomal RNA
Rfam family: Bacterial small subunit ribosomal RNA
Source: RNAcentral